CGAGCUUUCCUGCCCAGAGCACCUAAGGGACGGUUUUUGCUUCUCCUAAAUUUGUCACUUCUUUAAUCUCCUAUCCUCCCAUAACCAUUUGUGGUUCUUGCAGGUUUGCUCCUAGGGACUAAUUUGUGCUUUCCGUUUCCAUGGACAUGGGUUGGCCAGGAAUCCCACUCCAUCUGGCCCCGGUCACCUUAAUGUCUGAAGUGUGUGCUGCAGGAAACUGAGUCCUCACUUGUUCUUGAGGUCCUCCACUAGGUCCUGCAUGUUUCUCAGCUCUUGAGUCCAGGUGGCUACGCCCUCUGCUCUCGAUGAUACUCGUCCAGCUGCCUCCUGAGGUUGUUGAUGUACUGCCUCGAAUCCGCUCCAGGUUCUGCCUCGACGGUCUUUGGUGCCCUGCUCCCGGUGCAGUGGGUCCACUUGGUGUCCAGAACCUUGUUCUGCUGCUCCAGGAACCGCACCUGGAGGGGAAGCAAGACGGUCAUUUUCCAGGCAAAGGAAGGAAGAAAAAGUGUCUGAUAUCUGGUUUCCUGGCAGGUCCAGGAGGUCCCCAUGGUGCUGGGCUACUACAUAGUGCAUGUAGAGAGGCUCAGGCUGGGCUCGGCUCCCCCAACCCCUUCUCCUUUGCACCCCACCAAUCUCACUAGAGAAAUUGUCCCACGGACCAUUGAGGUCUCCCUGGCAGGAAUGUGUUCCUCCUCUGGUCUGGGGACCCUGAAGUGCCCCGUGGAGGGCAUGACCCUGGCUCACCUUGUCGAUGAAGGAGGCGAACUUGUUGUUGAGGGUCUUGAUCUGCUCACGCUCCUCGGCCCGCACCCGCUGGAUGGCGGGGUCGAUUUGCAGGUUGAGGGGAGUCAGGAGACUCUGGUUGACGGUGACCUCUUGGAUGCCUCAAGGGGGACACACAGGGAAGCCAGGGCCCCCAAAGCCACCAGCAAGGCCGGCUCCACCACCCAGACCAAAGCCAAUGCCGGCUCCACCACCGAAACCAAAUCCACUCCCGGCGCCACCAAAGCCAUAGCUGCCUCCGGCUCUGCUGCCAUAGCCGCCACCGAUGGCACAGCUGCCCCCUCCAAUGGAGAUCCUCUUGGAGCCCCCCAGGCCAUACAGGCUGCGGCUGCCAAAGCCAGCUCCUCCACAUGCGCCACCCAGGCCACCACUGCCCCUGGAGCGGGACACGGAGACGCUGCUGAAGCCAGAGCGGCUGACCCCAGGGAGCCACAAGCGACUGACUUUUCUCUUGGCUGCUGCUGUGGCUCCUGA
This 1257-nucleotide long non-coding RNA is filed under the name Papio anubis (olive baboon). Its description in RNAcentral is "lncRNA (ENSPANG00000050428.1)". The record is from RNAcentral. Lineage: Eukaryota; Metazoa; Chordata; Mammalia; Primates; Cercopithecidae.